UCCUACGGGAGGCAGCAGUGGGGAAUUUUGCGCAAUGGGCGAAAGCCUGACGCAGCAACGCCGCGUGCGGGAUGAAGGCCUUCGGGUUGUAAACCGCUUUCAGCAGGGACGAAAUUGACGGUACCUGCAGAAGAAGCCCCGGCUAACUACGUGCCAGCAGCCGCGGUAAUACGUAGGGGGCAAGCGUUAUCCGGAUUCAUUGGGCGUAAAGAGCGCGUAGGCGGUUUGUUAAGCGAGAUGUGAAAACAGGGGGCUCAACCCGCUGCCUGCAUCUCGAACUGGCAGACUUGAGUCUGGUAGAGGAAAGUGGAAUUCCUAGUGUAGCGGUGAAAUGCGCAGAUAUUAGGAGGAACACCAGUGGCGAAGGCGGCUUUCUGGGCCACGACUGACGCUGAGGCGCGAAAGCUAGGGGAGCAAACAGGAUUAGAUACCCCGGUAGA
RNAcentral lists this ribosomal RNA (440 nucleotides) under uncultured bacterium. RNAcentral's name for it is "bacterial SSU rRNA". It matches the Rfam family "Bacterial small subunit ribosomal RNA", at positions 337 to 794 of the family's 1533-position model. The record is from RNAcentral.